Molecule: ribosomal RNA, 324 nt
Filed under: uncultured eukaryote
Lineage: Eukaryota
Description: partial 18S ribosomal RNA
Rfam family: Eukaryotic small subunit ribosomal RNA
Source: RNAcentral
CCCUUAGAUGUCCUGGGCUGCACGCGCGCUACACUGAUGUGUCCAGUAAGCACCUAACCUCUUCCGAAAGGAACGGGUAACCUUUGCAAAGCACAUCGUGAUGGGGAUAGAUUAUUGCAAUUAUUAGUCUUGAACGAGGAAUUCCUAGUAAGCACAAGUCAUCAGCUUGUGUUGAUUACGUCCCUGCCCUUUGUACACACCGCCUGUCGCUCCUACCGAUUGAAUGUUCCGGUGAGCUCUUCGGACUGCGCGGUCUGCAGUUUCUGCGUUCCGUGCGGAAAGUUGCGCAAACCUUAACAUUUAGAGGAAGGAGAAGUCGUAGCA